GCCGCCAGCGCCGCUGGCUCCCUUCGCCCCCCAGGCUUUGCUUCCUUCCAGAAGGGCUGCAGGGCUCACUGAGCCCGAGCAAAGCAGCCGGACUCUUGCUGCAGCGCCCAGCACCUGGCAGCAGGGCCCCUGCCACCUGCCAGCCCCAGGGCAAAGGAAGCAGAGCCUGAGCGUGCAGAGAGCAGAGUUCAAGUGACAGCUGCCCAGGAACCCCCAAAGGCUCAUCUUCUCAUGGGCAAAUGCCCGGCAACAGGAUGGACCCCUGGCUGGGCACCGGAGGCCUGAAAGCUGCCAAACGUCUCCAGUGCCUUGCGGCGGAACGGGCCGGGGAGGACCCACACAGGACCGGACUGGACAGGACAGCACCCACCGGCCCGUCCAGGCGACGGCCGCCUCCCACGCGGCUCCCCUCUACGUCUCUUCCUGCAUCUCUUCCCCACACGUCUCCUCCUGUGACCCCCUUCACGGCCCCCCUUCCUGACCCCUUCCCAGAUGCCCCAUUCAGGAAGUCUGGGGUGGGGAAAUCUGCAUGUGGGAGCACUGCAGGGCCCCUCCGGCUUGGGGCGUGCACCCCACGGCCAGCCGUGCACCCCACGCCCCAACGCCUGGCAGGCAGCUCCGCGGCCCUCCCCCUCCCACAGGCUCAAAGCCACCUGCAGUUUUCCGCCCCUGCUCAGGGCUGAGGACUGAGGUUUUUCCUGGCUUCUGGGGUUUCCGUCUUCCUCCUCGGGACAUUGCCCCUCUCCCCAAACCCUUUCACGCCUCCUGCUGGAUUUCCGCCUGCUUCUCCCUUCCCUGCAGAUGCUGGUGUCUCGGGCCUUAGAUGUUACAGUGCCUCUCCUGUCUGUCAGCGCCCACGACUUUGCCCAAGGGGAUGUUUCCUCGCCCAGAACACCCUAAUUUAGAAUAGUCAGAUUCAUCAAGAGGUCUUGGGGGGCAUUUCUGUGCCUUUGAAGCUGUCUCGGCCGCACCGUUUGCCCGGUAUCUUCUUCCGGCUGCCGGUUGCUCUGGCCUCCAGCGCUCGCUCGGGGCAGCCAGAGCCCCUGCGCACACCCCCAGGGCAGUGGAGAAGUGCAGUUCCCUUCGCCCUCGACCAGCAGGCUCGGCGCUGGGCCACACAGCUCCGGGUCUGCCUGCGGGUCUCUUCUGUUGCUUAUUGUCUGUGCCAAGCCACGGUUUUUCGGAUGACUGGUCUUGCACAUGCGGUAGGGAAAAGCAGGCAGGCCCUCGCGUCUGCCCCCCUCGGCGCCUGAAUGCGUGAUAUAGUAACUUCCCCAGGGAGUGAAGUUAAAAGAGGCAUCUUUUAAAAUGAGGACCAAAAAACGUCAUGAGUCAGUGGCCGCCCGCCACACCCCUGUGGGCCUCCCGUUUACCCUGGUACCCAGCACUUGCCAAGACAAUGUUCAGUGUCAGGCUUCCGGUCUCGCUGGCACCCUGCUGGCGGGACCGUCCCCUUCGGCCGAGACUUGCCGCCACGCGCACCGAGACUGCCAUCCUCUCUCCUGGGCCUGUCUUUCCUGACGCCGACCCUCUAGUCUGGCUUCCUGUGCCUCCACGCCGUUCCCACUUCCUCUUGUGCAGCUUGCCCCAAGCUCCAACUGACCUCCCCA
Molecule: long non-coding RNA, 1610 nt
Organism: Condylura cristata (star-nosed mole)
Lineage: Eukaryota; Metazoa; Chordata; Mammalia; Eulipotyphla; Talpidae
Exons: 3
Source: RefSeq, a predicted model, not a curated record